This 468-nucleotide ribosomal RNA is filed under the name uncultured bacterium. Its description in RNAcentral is "partial 16S ribosomal RNA". It matches the Rfam family "Bacterial small subunit ribosomal RNA", at positions 28 to 507 of the family's 1533-position model. The record is from RNAcentral.
GACGAACGCUGGCGGCGUGCUUAACACAUGCAAGUCGAACGGAAAGGCCCUGCUUUUGUGGGGUGCUCGAGUGGCGAACGGGUGAGUAACACGUGAGUAACCUGCCCUUGACUUUGGGAUAACUUCAGGAAACUGGGGCUAAUACCGGAUAGGAGCUCCUGCUGCAUGGUGGGGGUUGGAAAGUUUCGGCGGUUGGGGCUGGACUCGCGGCUUAUCAGCUUGUUGGUGGGGUAGUGGCUUACCAAGGCUUUGACGGGUAGCCGGCCUGAGAGGGUGACCGGCCACAUUGGGACUGAGAGACGGCCCAGACUCCUACGGGAGGCAGCAGUGGGGAAUAUUGCACAAUGGGCGGAAGCCUGAUGCAGCAACGCAGCGUGCGGGAUGACGGCCUUCGGGUUGUAAACCGCUUUCGCCUGUGACGAAGCGUGAGUGACGGUAAUGGGUAAAGAAGCACCGGCUAACUACGUG